This 21-nucleotide non-coding RNA is filed under the name Caenorhabditis elegans. Lineage: Eukaryota; Metazoa; Nematoda; Chromadorea; Rhabditida; Rhabditidae. The record is from RNAcentral.
UCAAGACUAAAACCUUCAUGG